Molecule: ribosomal RNA, 426 nt
Filed under: uncultured bacterium
Lineage: Bacteria
Description: bacterial SSU rRNA
Rfam family: Bacterial small subunit ribosomal RNA
Source: RNAcentral
GAGUUUGAUCGUGGCUCAGGACGAACGCUGGCGGCGUGCUUAACACAUGCAAGUCGAACGAGAAUCUGCUGAAGGAGGAUUCGUCCAACGGAAGUAGAGGAAAGUGGCGGACGGGUGAGUAACGCGUGAGGAACCUGCCUUGAAGAGGGGGACAACAGUUGGAAACGACUGCUAAUACCGCAUGACGCAUAGAGGUCGCAUGAUCUUUAUGCCAAAAGAUUUAUCGCUUCAAGAUGGCCUCGCGUCUGAUUAGCUGGUUGGCGGGUAACGGCCCACCAAGGCGACGAUCAGUAGCCGGACUGAGAGGUUGAACGGCCACAUUGGGACUGAGAUACGGCCCAGACUCCUACGGGAGGCAGCAGUGAGGAAUAUUGGUCAAUGGGCGAGAGCCUGAACCAGCCAAGUAGCGUGAAGGAUGACUGCCCU